Molecule: ribosomal RNA, 1357 nt
Filed under: uncultured bacterium
Lineage: Bacteria
Description: 16S ribosomal RNA
Rfam family: Bacterial small subunit ribosomal RNA
Source: RNAcentral
GAUGAACGCUAGCUACAGGCUUAACACAUGCAAGUCGAGGGGCAUCAGGAAGAAAGCUUGCUUUCUUUGCUGGCGACCGGCGCACGGGUGAGUAACACGUAUCCAACCUGCCCUUUACUCGGGGAUAGCCUUUCGAAAGAAAGAUUAAUACCCGAUAGCAUAAUGAUUCCGCAUGGUUUCAUUAUUAAAGGAUUCCGGUAAAGGAUGGGGAUGCGUUCCAUUAGGUUGUUGGUGGGGUAACGGCCCACCAAGCCUUCGAUGGAUAGGGGUUCUGAGAGGAAGGUCCCCCACAUUGGAACUGAGACACGGUCCAAACUCCUACGGGAGGCAGCAGUGAGGAAUAUUGGUCAAUGGGCGCUAGCCUGAACCAGCCAAGUAGCGUGAAGGAUGAAGGCUCUAUGGGUCGUAAACUUCUUUUAUAUAAGAAUAAAGUGCAGUAUGUAUACUGUUUUGUAUGUAUUAUAUGAAUAAGGAUCGGCUAACUCCGUGCCAGCAGCCGCGGUAAUACGGAGGAUCCGAGCGUUAUCCGGAUUUAUUGGGUUUAAAGGGAGCGUAGGUGGACUGGUAAGUCAGUUGUGAAAGUUUGCGGCUCAACCGUAAAAUUGCAGUUGAUACUGUCAGUCUUGAGUACAGUAGAGGUGGGCGGAAUUCGUGGUGUAGCGGUGAAAUGCUUAGAUAUCACGAAGAACUCCGAUUGCGAAGGCAGCUCACUGGACUGCAACUGACACUGAUGCUCGAAAGUGUGGGUAUCAAACAGGAUUAGAUACCCUGGUAGUCCACACAGUAAACGAUGAAUACUCGCUGUUUGCGAUAUACAGUAAGCGGCCAAGCGAAAGCAUUAAGUAUUCCACCUGGGGAGUACGCCGGCAACGGUGAAACUCAAAGGAAUUGACGGGGGCCCGCACAAGCGGAGGAACAUGUGGUUUAAUUCGAUGAUGCGCGAGGAACCUUACCCGGGCUUAAAUUGCAGUGGAAUGAUGUGGAAACAUGUCAGUGAGCAAUCACCGCUGUGAAGGUGCUGCAUGGUUGUCGUCAGCUCGUGCCGUGAGGUGUCGGCUUAAGUGCCAUAACGAGCGCAACCCUUAUCUUCAGUUACUAACAGGUCAUGCUGAGGACUCUGGAGAGACUGCCGUCGUAAGAUGUGAGGAAGGUGGGGAUGACGUCAAAUCAGCACGGCCCUUACGUCCGGGGCUACACACGUGUUACAAUGGGGGGUACAGAAGGCAGCUAGCGGGUGACCGUAUGCUAAUCCCAAAAGCCUCUCUCAGUUCGGAUCGAAGUCUGCAACCCGACUUCGUGAAGCUGGAUUCGCUAGUAAUCGCGCAUCAGCCACGGCGCGGUGAAAUACGUUCCCGGG